CCGGCGGCGGGGAGGCGGCUCCCGCCCUGGAGCUGGUGCGGCCGUCGGUGACGGAGCUGUGCCAGGUGCGCACCAACAUCCUGUGCACCGUGCCCGGCUGCGGCAAGGUGCUGCCCAACAGCCCGGCGCUCAGCAUGCACCUCAGCAAGGCGCACCGCCUGCAGGAUGGAAAAUUUAAUGCACCAAUAAGGAAGGGGUUGAAAACUCCACAGAAAUUCUACUGCUGUCCUAUCGAAGGCUGCCCUAGAGGACCAAACAGACCAUUUUCCCAAUUUUCUCUUGUGAAACAGCACUUUAUGAAGAUGCAUGCUGAAAAGAAGCACAAAUGUGAUAAAUGUAGUAACUCCUAUGGUACAGAAUGGUAUUUGAAACGGCACAUAGAGGACUGUGGCAAGACUUUCCGGUGUACUUGUGGGUGCCCGUAUGCCAGCAGGCCAGCAUUACUGUCUCAUAUUUACAGAACUGGCCACGAAAUUCCUGCGGAGCACAGGGAUCCUCCUAGUAAGAAAAGGAAAAUGGAAACCUCCGUACAUAAUCAGCAGUUGGCAGAGAAAGCAAAUAAAGCACUCAUCGAUACACAUAAUAGUAAUCCUGGCACUCAGGAAUUGGAGUCAUCUGAAGUGAAACUAGUGGCCUCUUUUGAAGGUUCCUGCAAUUCUAACUUCACGAAGCAAGUACAGCCAAAAUGUACACCGAAGAUGCUUUUGCCAAAGCCCAAGGUGGCUUUGGUUAAACUUCCAGUGAUGCAGCUCGCUCACUUGCCUGUGUAUGUGUCUGCAACAGAUUCUUCCGUCAAACCUGUUGUAGUGGCUGUUGAUAAUCAAGGUUCAGUUUUAAGUACCGUUCAUUUCUUGCCUCAGUCUGUAGGGAUUCUGAUUCCAGCACUGGAGGCAGAAACGCUUGUAUUUAAAGACACUAUGCCUGUCUCAAAAGUAACAAAUUCUGGUGAUAACGAACCAGUAAGUACUGGUGUGCAAGUUGACUUGGACAAGGUUGCACCAAAUAGCCCAGGUCAAGAACCAGGGAAUGGUUGUCAUAAGAGUAACAUUUCUUCAAUAAAUGUACAGACUGACUUAUCUUAUAUUUCACAGAACUUUGUGCCGGCUGCAGCCUGGACUCCUGAUUCUUCUGUGUCUUCUUGCUCUCAGACAGAUCUGUCAUUUAGUUCACAGGUUUCACUACCCAUCAGUGUACAAACGCAGACGCUGCUGCCUUCUUCCAAACUGACUUCAUCCAUAGCUGCUCAGACUGAUGAUUUCAGUCAGGCUUGUUUCCCUACAUGUGGCAUUUCUAGAGAGACUCAAACCAACAGAACACAGGACUCCAUUGAUGGAAGAGUGCAAAUGGACCAGGCUGUAAUGUGCGGUGACAUCUUUGACAAUGUUCAUCCAUCAUAUAAUGUUUCUACUCAGAUUGAGCUUCCAGAAAACAACUUAAUGGCUGCAAAUAUAGAUCAAGCCUUGCUGCAGAGGAGUAAUUGCAAGAGCCUCAAUCAAGAUACAGUGAAGUCUGAAUCCCUUAUCGGCUUUAAUACCCAGACUAAUAUACUUCCACCUCAAAAUACGAUGGAUAAUCAAACGCAGACAAUGGACUUGCUAAGUGAUCUGGAAAAUAUCUUUUCAGGAAACAUGUCUGGCCAGACCCUGGAUAAUCGUGGCCUUUUGUCCGAGACUAGCUCUAAUGCUGACACACAUCUGCCAUCUGGUCCAUCACAGAGCACAGGAAUAGACUUUGACAUUGAAGAGUUCUUUUCAGCAUCCAAUAUCCAAACUCAGACUGAAGAGAGUGAGCUUGGUACCCUAAACUCUGAGCCAGUUUUGGAGUCGCUGGACAUUGAAACUCAGACUGAUUUCUUAUUUUCAGAUAGUGCCACUCAAUCGUAUAGCUGCAGAGGAAAUUCUAACUUCUUAGGUUUGGAGAUGUUUGAUACGCAGACACAGACAGACUUGAAUUUCUUCUUGGACAGUAAUACCCACCUGCCUUUAGGAAGCAUUCUGAAGCAGUCUAGUUUCUCCAUGAGUACUGACUCAUCGGAUACAGAAACCCAGACAGAAGUAUAUCCUGCCACUAAAAACAUACCUAAUCAGAGCAUAGAAAGCAAAGUCCAGCUCAAUAGUGCUGAAACACAGACUAUGGACAGCUGCUUUGAGAAUCUGGGGAAUUUAUUCCUUACCAGCAACGAGACACAGACAGCAAUGGAUGACUUUCUUCUGGCUGACUUAGCCUGGAAUACAAUGGAGUCCCAGUUCAGUUCGGUAGAAACACAGACCUGUGAAGAGCUGUGCUCCUUGUUUCAGAGCUCUGACAAGCCCAGCCAUUGAGUACUGUGUCACAAAACUGUUUUGUGUGGUUUGAAAUUAAAUUAUUGGGGUGGGAGAGAGAGAGAUUGACCAAGUCACCCAUUUUGCAUUGUUGAAUGUAGUUACUGCGUGCAGAUGGCCUAAGAGACUUUUCAUGCUGAAGGUACUUUAUUGAGUGUGUAACUUCAACAUACACUAUGUGUGCAUAAAGAGGGGUGGGGGAGGGCAUAACAUUAAUGUAAGUUUGAACCUUAAACAAAAGUUUGUGGUGCCUAUGUUUUUUGCUCAGACUUUACAAAGCCGAUACUGCUUCGUUAAAACGGAAGAACUUUCCAAGGUGUCCCAUAUAUAUCUAUUUCUGGCUUAUAUAUAGGGUUCCGUUGUGCUGGACCAAAACCUGACCUGUCCAAUUCAGAUGCUUCCCUGAACUUACGGGGGAGGAUUCUCUUAGUGUAAGCUACUUCUGUUUACUUUUUUUUAGUAGCUUGUAUUUUAAAUCUGGAAUGAACAUAAUAAGCUGUAUUGUCGUCUUUUACUUCAUGCCUUCACAGUUCUUUCUCCUGUAUAAGUUUUCCAAACACCUGUCUGACAGGCUUAGAUACACGUAGACUCUUGAAUUAUUGAACAUUGAGUUUUUUUAAAAGAAAAAAUGUAGAGAGCAGUAGGUUUUUUUCCCCAGGUGGCACUGAUGCCCUUUGAAUGGUAGGAAAAUAACUUAGAAUACAUAAUUACAGAGAAAAAUAUGUUGUCCUUUUAGCUAGUGUAAUAAACGGGACUUAAAAUAUUUUUAGAGUCUUCAGGAGAGAUCUGCUUAAAUUAUUUCUGAGUGUUAGAUGCAAAUGUUAUAAUGCUUGUGCCUCAAAAACUGGAAUAAUUUGUUUUUGCUGAAGUUCCCCUAGCCUCUACCAAGAUAUGAGAUGGGAAAUGUUAUAAUGGUUUAUAUUUCCACUACCUUAACAAAAACCAUUAAAGGUGAGAAAUUAAAUUCUCUAAGAUACUCCUGCACCUACUCUACUGGUUUUGGAAUUUGGACUUCUGCUUCCAGAAACAAAGCAGACUGAGCUCUGUACAACCGAGCUGCAAGAUCAGCUCACCAAAACCCUUUGGGAAGAGGAGGUGUGUUUUGCUUUUGCACAUGGAUCUGCAGCUGGUGGUGCCUGCAGCUUUUGGAGGGUUUGCUGAGUGUAACCAAAAACUCAGACUGAUUUGUCAAGGAGAAACAUGUGACCCCUCGAUUUUAUGUUUAUUUUACCCCUGGUACCAUACUUGCAGUAGAUGCAUUUACAUGAAAAAUGUAAGCCAGUUGUGAAUGUAUGCUGGAAUUCGGCCUUAACUGAUUUUUGUCUCCUUAAAAUACUUGCAAAAUGUAGGCCUCUGGUUUUGUCCUGGGCAGGUUUUAGUUGCUGUUACCUUAAUGAAAAGCAAAACAUUUUUGUGUCAAAUUCCUGGGCCUGUAAUAGAUUUUACUCCUCUAUUAUGAGAGGAGAGUUAUUGGCUGUGUAUUUACUAGGCAGCCCACCAGUAGAUGUUCGUCUAAGCCUUAGUUUUUGAAGACUCACUACACUUUGUGUGCAGCUCCAUAUCCUCAGCUCAAGGAUGUGGGAGUUUGGUUACUCAUCCAGUGCAGCUAGCUUGUUUUGUUGAAAAUGAGCAAUACCUUCCCAUUUUAUUCUCUCUUCCCACUACUCUUUAAAUUGCCAUAGUUAAGUCAACACACUAAUAAGUAUCUCAACUGAUGCUGGAGAUCAUCUCUUCAACCUUGAAACUUCCAUUUUCCUCCUGGGGAGAGAGGAGGAAAAAAAAAAAAAAAGGCCUGAAACCAUGGAUGCAUUGCCUUUUUAGUUUUUCAGCAUUUCUAGGUGGGUGUUCAGACACUUCCAGGCACUAGCUGAAGAAACUGCAUAAAUAAAUACUGUACUUCCAAGGGAAAGUACAAGAAUUUUGCUUUGGGGAAAGUCCCACCAGUUUUCACGAGGUCUACAGCUCUAAUCUUGAGGGUGGGAUAUACUGGAAAAGGAAGACAUAGCUUUUAAUUCUUUAUUUUGUAAGGUAUGACUGAUUUGUGUUUACCUACCUGCUUUGAAAUUGAGAAAUAAGGUAAAUGACAAAACUGAGUUAAUUUAUUGCAUUGCAGUGUUUGUCUAGUCGUGUUACAUCUUUGGGCUUCAGAAGUGUUUUUCCUUUUCCGUUCUUCCCCCUGGCUGGAAUAGCAGAGAGCGCUUCUGCAUGCGGAGGCUUCUCCAUCGUCAGUGUGCGAGUUGUCUAGACUGACACGAGCUGCUAUAAAUCUGAUUCCUAGAUUACUGAGAUAAAGGGAAUUGAGAGUUGGGGAAGACUAUUUUCCCCAGCUGUAGAAGGCAGAAGUGAGAAACUUUGUUACCUCUGAAUAUAGAAAGCUGGUCUGUUUCUGCAAGAGAAGGACUGUAGUGAUGAGGAACAGAAUUAUGGAAGGCUUUGAGUUUCAGCCUUCUGAGGGACCAGCUGGCAUUUCAAGGACUUUGAAGCUAAUUUACAAAUCCAAAUGAGAAUCACCAUGUCGUUAAGGUGUAAGCCAAACCUUUUAACAUCAGUGAUUCUCAGAAAAAAAAAAGGGGGGGGGAUUUUUUGUGGACAGUCUUACAGUAUGACUGUUACUCAUUUAUUGUGUUUUGUAAUUAAAAUUAUUUAUAAGUUUGUGUUUUGUUAGAACAUGCAAAUACCAUUUCCUUUCCUCAUCAGUUUAAAAGUUUGAACUUUAAUUAGAUGAACACAAUACUACAACAUGAAGUUACUUAUUGAAAGUAUUAAAAAAUCAUUAAAUGUACCCGCAUUUUUUGUCAGUGAGCUGCUUCCCUAAAUUAAUGUAUUUUUUUCAGAAGUUUGGUUCCCCAUAAAAGAAACAAGUUUGGAUCCUACACUGGUGGCAUAUGUCCCUUAUUUUGGAUACGUUAAUUAUUUUUGUGUAAAUGCAAAGUCUAAAACAGACUGUUCAUAGUUCCUGAAUCCCACAGGAUACCUAUUGAAACCUGAUCUGAAAAAUUGUUGAUCAAUACUACUUACUCUUAAAAAUUAAACAGAUUCUUUUAAAUGGUUAAUUUUCUAUUUUGGCCAUUGUUUUCAAAAUAAAUUUCAAUCAGAACUAUUUCUUGGUAGUACUGAAAUGAUACUUAUCUCCCUUUUUCUGCAGUUUGUCUCUGAUUUGAUUUUCGAGGCACUGUCUCUAUUAGUAGGUGAACGACCAGAUGCUCUGUGACUGAAAGUUCAUCUGUGCUAUUACAGCAGCUAUAGUCACGACUGAAACGCUCUCUGUGGUGUGCCAGGCUGCUGUUUUCAGUGCCAUCAGACACUGAGGUAAGUGUGUGAGGCAGCAUUCAGCCCCAGUGGUAGCAAAAUAUAGAAGGUAUUUCCAGGGGGCAGUAUGUGGUAAGUAUCUAGAAAGUAAAUUCCCAUUCAGAGCAUUUAAAGUUAUCUUUGAAAGAGUCAGUGUAUUAGGAACUGACUACUCUUGCAGGAAUAACAGGCUAUUCCUGCUGUAGGAAUUAUAUUCUGCUUAGUUUGGGUUGAGCUAUUUCAGGCUUGUUAUUCAGAUAGAGCAGAUUUCGCCUGUGGACAAAAGUCAGCUACUUUGAACAGACUGUCCUCAUGAAACUUGCAAAGAUGGCUAGGCAGUCUGAAAGGCAGGACAAAUUCUGACUCUUGAUUAAGAACAGAUCGAGAAGAAGCCGAUAGCUGUUCAGAGAUCAGCCCCACGUGUUUUUGAACUACUUUCUUGUUUGGUGUUGCUGAGAACUUACUGUUAUUUCUGUUGGCAGUAAAAGCAUCCCCGGAUCAGUUUGUGUUUAGAUUCUGAAUUUCCUUCACUUAAAGAAAUUGCUUGUUGGCAAGCUGAUUGAUUGCAUUCUGUCAAAACAAUUGAAUUUAAGAGAGGCAGGCUCCAGGAUUUGACAAAGUGUUCUCUGGAGUCAGUCCCUUGGAAGUCUGGACCUAAGACAAAAAGACAGAAGCAUUGAUUUAGCUUUCAGGUGUUCUCUCAUUGUAUUUUUACACUGUUGUUACCAAUUCCCUUUCGCUUGUUUUGUUUUGGCACCUUGAAUGCAGGAAACACUCCCAGUUGAUCUAGCACUUAAGUUUAUUUCCUUUCCCUAAGCAGGAAUGGUUUUAUUCUUGAGAGAAUCUGCAUGUAAACAAGAAGCUGCUGUUUCCUGGGGUAGAAGAACCCAGUGUCUUCAAGGUCAUAUAACUUAAUUAUGUUAUGUUAAUUAUGUUUAUCAUGACUUAAGUGUUGUGAAUUUGUAUCUUUCUGUUCCAAUUCUUUACUUAGCAGCUUUGCUGCGUGACUUUUGUUACACCCCUUUCUUGGCAAAUCCUUCUGUUUGUCCUGAGAAGCGUGAGCAGAACAAAAUUGGCCAGUAUCCCUUUCUUCUUUAAAGCCAUUUGUUAAGGGAGCACAAUGGAAAGGUUUGCUAUGGUAGGCUAGAAAUGUUCCCCUCCUGGAAAGAUCGUUUCUUGCAGGAGAUUUGCUGGCGAUUAAAUUGCAAUUAGUUUUUAAUUGAAUCUCCUGUAAACUCGGUUGACUGGGCCAAGUCUCCAUGAGCUACUACAACCAUAUUGUAAGUAACAAUUUUGCUUACUGGUAUUUGGGGGAGUGGGGACUUGGUUUGUACCUGAGGGCAAUGAAAGGAGCAUCUCUGCCCAAGACUUUUACCUGUGAAACAAAGUACAGAAGUUCUGUAUUAGUUACUAGUGGAAAUAUAGUUUUUAGGUUCAACUUUGAACUUUUUUUUCUAUAAAGAAUGGGUUAGCUGUCUGCAGUGGCUGCAUCUUGUAAGCACUAUAAUGAACGUUUGGCUUUACUUACUGUUAACUGAUAAUGCAGUUCAUUUUUCAGUUUGCUUGCUGAAGCAGCAAUAUUUUCUGUUCUCUGAGUGGGAGAGACUAUCUUCCCUUCCUCACCGUUAUUAAUGUUAUUAAUUUCAUAGAUGCAUUUACAUUUGAAUUUUCUAUGUAGUGAAAAACAGAGGACUUGAAACAAGUAUAAGUGGACUCAAGUUACUUAUCUUGGGACUGUUUGUGAAGGAUCCUUCCACUGGAGAGCUUGUAUUUUAUAUUUAAAUAUGAAGCACAGGACUGGAAAAGACACUGCCAAAAGAGAAGUGAGAGGGAAGGGGACAAAGAAGUGAAGAAUAUGGUUUGUUAGAGGAUGUCUCUGUUCUGUCAGAAUGAGUAAUUGCAGCACUAUGAUUGAAUAACAGGUAAGACAAAAGUUACUACUACUACUACAAAAAAAGUAUGUUUCCUGGAAAUUGACAACUAAGAUCUUGACUGCAAAAAAUCAUUGCUGGAGAUUUUCAGUUACCUAGAGUUUUGAAAGAGAUGAAAGAUGCAUAUAGAUCUUAGUAGCAGCUAUAAGGAUAACUCUUCUGCAUCAAAAUAUGAAUGGAAAUUAAUAUUCCCACUUACCCUAUUUCCCUAUUUUAAAAUCACUGACUGCUCUGUUUCUUUAAUAUCACAAAAGCAUCACAUUGAAACAAAACCUUAUUGAUACAUUCUUCCCUAAGGUAUAUAUAAAUUGACUUUGCAACAUAAAAGCAACAUAAAAUAAUGUAUGAUACAGGCACUUUAUGAAAUCUAAGUAAUUUAUUAAGUAGAGGUAAUACAAAGCAUUGAUACUUACUGUCCUGUAUGAAUCUAUGUAGAGUGAAUUUCUCCUGAUGUCUCAUUUUCCAUACCUUAAGCUGAUGUAUCGUUGUGCAUACUUAUCAAAGAUCUGUUACAUGACUGCUAUAAAUGUAACUACGCUAAAACUUUUGAGGGAAAUACUGUAGUGGGGAGAUAGUAAAUUUUUGUAGCUAUUUGUUGGGCAAAAACAGUUGAAAUAGGUCAUUGACAAGAACACUGAGAAACUGUACCACUACAUUGUCAAGAUUUGAACAGAGGGAUGUCUUGUUCACUUUUUGAACAAUAAUCACAUUAUAUGUUUGUCCAAAGCAACACCUUUAGAAUUUUCCUUCUCGAUUCACAACAAAAUAGCAAACCGGUACAAAAAAAUACUACCAUUUCAGAUUGAAAUACUUAGCUUUUCUUCUUCAAGAAGAGCGAAGGAGUGCGGAAGACACCUUGAGAGCAACUUUGUGCUAUUUCUGGUAGAAGUGCUUAUUUUGUUAGCCAUUCAGUAGGUGGCACUCCCCUCCCAUACAGAGGUGCUGUAGCUUGAAAAAUCAAGUUUACUGCCCUCCAAAUGGAGGCCCUGUUCUAACCUCCAGUGCAAGGGCUCUGCACCUCAAUCUGAUACGCCGCUGUACAUGCUUAAAGAAUUGUUACACACCUGCUAUACAAAUUACUGUUCUAAAAGGUUUCUAGAUUUCCCUAAGCAAUUCCCAGAAGAAUAAUGUUAUGAGACAAAGCGAACAGCUUGGAAUUGUUACUUAACACUAGCGCUCAACUCCUGUGUUCUUCUCUGGAGGUCAUGUCACUUCAGUACUGGGGGAAGAGAGAAAACCACAUCAUCCUUCCCUUUUUUAAAGGAAUAAACACACAAUAGUUUAUUUAGGUACACAGAAUAUUUGUCAUCUUUUUUUCUUUUCUUCCUCUGAAACUACACGUCUGGAAGGUGAUUAUUCUCUAGCUGUGAUGUUUGGAUACUUGAACACAAUUAACAAGUUGAGGCCAGAAAACUGCUAAAAACUUUACAUUUAUGCACAUGCUUAAUUAGUAAAGAUAUAAAUCUAAAAAGCUAUGGAAUUCCUCAAUGUAAAGCUCUGUUUUAAACUAUAUCCUAUUGGGGUCUUGCACUGAUAUUAUCUUUCCCUACUCCGAAUCUUAAUCAAAGCAUCAGAAGAGGGGAAGGGUAAGUUGCAGUGAAUCUGUCCUGAAUGUGAAGGAACAUGCUCUUUGUGGGGAAAAAGCUGCUACAAUUGAAUUGCAGUUACUGAUGUCUCUAUGGAAAGACUGCUGGUUUUUAAUUUGCUUUUUGUUUAACACAAAAACAAAACAGAACUUGAUCUGGAAGCCCUACUUAGUAUGAUGAGAUGAAACAAGAAUACAUGAAUACACAUCUAUUAAACAGAAACAAGCAAAGAAAACAGGAUUAAAAAAUAAAUCUACUUUAAACAAGAACAAACAUUGUAAAUGACUGUCAGUCUCACCACUGUCUGCUUUCCAGAUCAUUUCUGUUUCUUCUAGGUGCCAAAUUAGCAAGGAAUGUAUGCAAACGUUUGUCUGUGAAGCUCAGUAGGAUUUAGCACUGUUUUAAGGGUAUUAUUAAAGGUCUUGCAGAGUAGAAUGUUCUUAUAGUUAGACAUUGUUUCAGUGAUCAGCAGUAUCAAAUACGUAAUUAUCACAGUAGGCUACAGUAGUCAUUCAGAGUGAAUCUAAAUGAAGAGGCUGCACUUCAUCCCCAGAAUAAGCUGUUAAAACUAAUGGAUCUAUCUUGUGGUCAGGAAGAAACUAAACCUAUGUGAAAAUAAUUGGCAUUCAUCAGCUUAUGCUAUUAAUAGCAUUUUAAAAAACUACAAAUAUCCCAGUGGCUCACAAGGAAAUUUUAUUUUUUUUCCCCAUAAGUUAACAAGGAGAAAAAAAGGCGUGAGAUUACAAUAUAGAAGUGUUAGUUCAGUCUAGGUGGCAGUUCAGCUCUUGCAGUGUGAGUGGCCUUUAGGGAAGGUAAUAGUCCAGAAAGCAGGGGAACCGCCUGCAUUUUUGAUUUGUUUCCUUCCUUGACCUCAGCAUACCUGUUCCUGGCAUUGUAGGUUAAAGAGCCUCGAAUGUCAUGUUUUGUGUAUUGUAUUCCUUUUGUGUGUGGAACCUGCGUACAAGCGUGAUGAAUGUUCUUUUUGGAAGCAAUAGGAUUAGGAAUGGUUGCAAUACUUCUGUCAGAUGUAAGAGCACAGUCCCAGGAUAACUGUUGAGGAUCUUCCUGCAGGAGGGAGACCUCUGAAUGACUUGAGAAAAAUGCUGAUGGUUCAUGAAUUUCUCCUUUUUCCUUCAUUUUAUCAUUCAUGGUGUCAGCUCCUUUUUUACCCUUUUGCUCUGUUCCUUUAGCGUCAUGACUGCAGGAAGCAAUCUCAACUGAAGUACCAUUGAGUGUGUUCAGAAGGAUAAUGGCUUGCUUGUUCUUCCAGGAAGGGU
This is an RNA transcript of Cygnus olor (mute swan), 10403 nucleotides long. It is a transcript of the gene named ATM interactor, with no coding region annotated. The record is from RefSeq and is a predicted model, not a curated record. The transcript has 5 exons. Lineage: Eukaryota; Metazoa; Chordata; Aves; Anseriformes; Anatidae.